RNAcentral lists this long non-coding RNA (664 nucleotides) under Pan paniscus (pygmy chimpanzee). Its description in RNAcentral is "lncRNA (ENSPPAG00000044226.1)". Lineage: Eukaryota; Metazoa; Chordata; Mammalia; Primates; Hominidae. The record is from RNAcentral.
UAGCAUAUUUAUGUACUUCUUUUCUGUUUAGGAGAAUGACCAAAAUGUAGGGCUCAGGUAGAAGAGGAAGCAGAGGUGAAUUUUAAUCUUCAGAUUGUGUAAUCAGUUCCCAGAUGACUGAGAGCUGGCUUCCGUUCACCUUUGAUUUACUACUACACCCACUACAGGGACAGGCAGAAUGAAAAGAACCAGACUUCCCAUGUUAGAAGCAGACCUGAUAGUGCUGCUCUCCUUUGCAGAGACAAUCCUAGUAAUACUAAAAGGAGUGUACCGGAACACCAGGAAGCUGGGUGCAAAAUCAAAGCAACUCUUCCCAUUUUAUUUUUUAAUUUUAAUUUUGUAGAGAUGAGGUUUCUCUAUAUUGCCCUGGCUGGUCUCAAGCUCCUGAGCUCAAGCAAUCCUCCCACCUCCGCCUCCCAAAGACUUCUCAUUUUGAAGUUUUUGAUGUAAGGACCCCAUUAAGUGGAAUUAAAUAAAAACAUAUUUUAAGAAAAAGUAGAAGAGACAAUGGUAUAAAGGUUUAAGAAACACACACACACAUAUGGACAUAUUGAACUGCAUUAGUAUGUUUAAAAAAUGUAUUUUGACCUAUUUCAAACAAAUCACACUCUGAUAACUUUAGAGAUUUCUAGGCUUAAUUUCUGUGUCAUUAUAGCAAUUAAAG